GAGGAAUGUAUAGCAAUAGCUACUUGUAUCAUUGUAAUGAUGUUGCAAGAUCGACUAUGUUGAAUAAAAUUCUAGGUAGAAUUAUGAUAAUGACAUUAUCUGCCUAUGUGUCUUGACCAAAUUACGUGCCAGCAGUCGCGGUAAUACGUAGAAGACUAGUGUUAUUCAUGUUUAAUCGGUUUAAAGGGUACCUAGACGGUAAAUCAAGCUUUCAAAAAACAGAUCUAAAGAAAAAAUAAACAAUAUAAGAAUGACCAACUAAGCUGAUUAAAAGGACUAAUUUACUAGAGUUACAUAUGGGGGGGCAUUAAAGUACUGUUGGUGUAGAGAUGAAAUUCUGUCAUACCUAUUCCGUAUAGGGGACAUAUGGCACAGGUAUAGGCGAAGGCAUCCCCUUUUAUGAUAACUGACGUUGAGGGACGAAGGCUUUAUAUAACGAACAGGAUUAGAUACCCUAGUAGUCGAAGCAGAAAAUGAUGAAUGUCAUAGAUUAGAUGUAUAAGUUUAUUCUAUAAAUGAAAGUGUAAGCAUUCCACCUCAAGAGUAAUUUGGCAACAUUGGAACUGAAAUCAUUAGACCGUAUCUGAAACCAGUAGUGAAGUAUGUUGUUUAAUUUGAUAAUCCGCAAAAAACCUUACCACAAUUUGAAUAUUUAUAAUUAUAUUGUCUUUUUUUAGGCAAUACAUUGUAUUUACAAGCGUUGCACGGCUGUCUUCAGUUAAUGUCGUGAGAUUUUGGUUAGUUCCAUAAAAUUAACGUAAACCCUUACUUUAUUUUUAUAUAGAGUAGUUCCCCACUAGAUUGGAUAUGAUAACAGGGACUAAGACAAU
Molecule: ribosomal RNA, 830 nt
Filed under: Relicina sublanea
Lineage: Eukaryota; Fungi; Ascomycota; Lecanoromycetes; Lecanorales; Parmeliaceae
Description: SSU rRNA
Rfam family: Bacterial small subunit ribosomal RNA
Source: RNAcentral